AUCGCUUCUCGGCCUUUUGGCUAAGAUCAAGUGUAGUAUCUGUUCUUAUCAGUUUAAUAUCUGAUACGUCCCCUACCCGGGGACCAUAUAUUAAAUUGAUUUUUGGAUCAGGGAGCCGGAACGGGGGCUUGCUCCUUCCACUCCACGCAUCGACCCCGGUAUUGCAUUACCUCCAGGUACGGUGCACGUUCU
This 192-nucleotide small nuclear RNA is filed under the name Lates calcarifer (barramundi perch). RNAcentral describes it as "U2 spliceosomal RNA (ENSLCAG00010015361.1)". It matches the Rfam family "U2 spliceosomal RNA". Rfam says of the family: U2 is a small nuclear RNA (snRNA) component of the spliceosome (involved in pre-mRNA splicing). Complementary binding between U2 snRNA (in an area lying towards the 5' end but 3' to hairpin I) and the branchpoint sequence (BPS) of the intron results the bulging out of an unpaired adenosine, on the BPS, which initiates a nucleophilic attack at the intronic 5' splice site, thus starting the first of two transesterification reactions that mediate splicing. The record is from Rfam by way of RNAcentral. Lineage: Eukaryota; Metazoa; Chordata; Actinopteri; Centropomidae.